CCAAUAGCGUAUAUUAAAGUUGUUGCAGUUAAAAAGCUCGUAGUUGAAUUUCGGGGUUAGCAGGUCGGUCGUGCCAUUGGUAUGAACUGGUCUCGCUGAUCCCUCCCUCUUGACGAACUGUGAUGCCAUUAAUUUGGUGUCGCAGGGAAUCAGGACUGUUACUUUGAAAAAAUUAGAGUGUUUAAAGCAGGCUUUAGCUUGAAUACAUUAGCAUGGAAUAAUGAAAUAGGACGUUUGAUCCUAUUUUGUUGGUUUCUAGGAUUGACGUAAUGAUUAAUAGGGAUAGUUGGGGGCAUUAGUAUUCAAUUGUCAGAGGUGAAAUUCUUGGAUUUAUUGAAGACUAACUACUGCGAAAGCAUUUGCCAAGGAUGUUUUCAUUAAUCAAGAACGAAAGUUAGGGGAUCGAAGACGAUCAGAUACCGUCGUAGUCUUAACCAUAAACUAUGCCGACUAGGGAUCGGAUGAUGUUAAUUUUUUAAUGACUCAUUCGGCGCCUUACG
This 500-nucleotide unclassified non-coding RNA is filed under the name uncultured Glomus. RNAcentral describes it as "SSU rRNA". It matches the Rfam family "Eukaryotic small subunit ribosomal RNA", at positions 591 to 1092 of the family's 1831-position model. Lineage: Eukaryota; Fungi; Glomeromycota; Glomeromycetes; Glomerales; Glomeraceae. The record is from RNAcentral.